RNAcentral lists this unclassified non-coding RNA (2345 nucleotides) under Hevea brasiliensis (rubber tree). The record is from RNAcentral. Lineage: Eukaryota; Viridiplantae; Streptophyta; Magnoliopsida; Malpighiales; Euphorbiaceae.
GAUGCACAUUGUUCAAUGCAUCACCACCUACAAAACAUUUUAAAUAAGAAAAGAUGCACAUAAUCACAGUGCAUUUAGCCAGUCAUCUGACAUGUUUAAAAGUACCCUAACAGAGUCCAAGUUCAAUGCCAUUUAGCAUCAAUAUUCCAUAGAAACUAUCUAUUUCCAGAAACUUUAGAAUACAACACACACACAGAGACCAGUAAAGUUAAUGAAGAAGGGAUAAAAAUAUAGACAAGCAGAACUUCACAUUAAUUUAAUGAAUGAAAGUCAUGAGACAAGUAGAAAACAUUUUCAUGCACAUACUUUGUUACAUACAAGAGGAUUAGGUUCAGGAAAGCAGUUAGGGAUGUCUGAAUAUUUGUAACAGAAGCAGUUAUGGAUGUCUAAUAGUGGUUAGAAGUAUAGCUGGAGUUCUUAAAAGUAGUUAGAAUUGGUAGGAACAGUAAUGAGCUGCAUAAAGGCAGCUAGGAGGCUGGAUGUAGUGCAUUUUCCAAUCUCUAUCCUUUCUCUCUUCUCUUCAAACUCUCUCUAAUUCUCUCUCUUCUAUCCACUAGUUUUCUUCUUCUUUCUCUAAAUUCCUUCAGCAAUACUCUGUUAGGAAUUCUUUUACUAUCAUACACAGAAAAUGUACAUACAUGUGCAAACAGCAAACCACAAACUACCCCAUAUCAAUAGUAGAAACAACAGGAAUAUAUAUCAAUGCCCAUUCACAAUGUUACAAGCCACAAAGUGGAUAAUGUAGCACUGAAAUGGAAAAUAAAGGUGACAUCGGUGAGAUGAUGUUAACUGUUAAGCAAUGUCAUUGAAUCUUGAAAAGUUUAGCUCAUUCCUGAAAACUGAAUUUUAAGCAAUGAAACAGACUCUUCUUUCAGGAAGAAAAUACAUCCUGAAAAGCAUGUUGAUGCCCAUAUUUUACAAUGAUAAGACAUAAUCAAAUGAUGUCCUUCAUGGCAUGAGCCAUGUCUUGGAACUUGAUUUAGCAUUAGAAUGGCCAACAAAAUGUAAGAAUAUAUAAUCACAUAUCCAAACGAAAAUUGUGCAUAAUACAAGAAAAGAAAUACUUUUUUUCCCAUACCCAUGUCUGAUUUCUCAGUUGCAUUGUCUGAUUUCUCUCCUACACAUUUUGAUGUAUUUUCAACAUAUCUAUGUUCUUGUUUUGAAGAAUCUGCAAUCUCUUUUCUAGCCUCCGGUGAUGUACUCCCAACAUUGUUUACCAGUCCCAGUAAUAGAGAAGCAUUGGAAGAGUCAAGACCAUUUUGAUUAGCUUGUGUCUCAUUUCUUGCUGCCAAAUUGUCUUGUUCAAUAGUCAUUUUCUUCUUAUCGGUUGCAAAAAUGGAUGAGAACCAAUUUCUGUUGAUUGCAGUUGUCUUUUGAACGUUUAGCACAUUUUCAUUCUCAGUGAUAUUGCUCUCUCCAAAAUGCCGAAACAAUUUAAAACCAUCUCCUGUAGGAAUGAAAAAGCUGAAGCACGAUAAGCAUCUGAAUAUCUCUGGUUCCCUGUCCCUAUUGUUAGCAUCAGCUGCAAGUGCUGGACUAGCACUUGAUUGAUUGUUAACCGUGUCAUGAACUUGAAAAUUGGCUGAAUUUGUAUUAAUGGACUUCAACUCAGAGUGAAAAUCUGUUUCUGAUUUAUUGUGCUUUGGUUUAUGACGUGCAUUUCGAAUUUUUGGUUUUCUUCUACGGAGAAUAACCCGUCUGGUAAUACAAGAGCUGCAGUUAGGGCAAUACAAAUCAUGAGUAUUUUGCUUCUCUAAUACCCUCUCAACAUCUAAUUCUGUCUCUUCCUGGUCAGUUUCUUCUAUUUUAUCAAAAUCUCCUUCUAGUAUAGUUUCAUUGUUGAUAGGCUUGGAUUUUAUAUUUUGCUCUUCAUGUGACUCCUCUAAAGGUGUUAAACUUGAACCAGAAAAACCUUCAUCAUCAAAAUUUUCACCAUAUUGAUCAUUUAUGUCCUUGAUUAGACUUUUCUGAACCUCCAAUUUCUUUAUAUGGACAUCCAUAUCUCUGCAAUUUGUCCCAGAAAUAGAACUAGUAACACUACCACUCUUCAUUUCAAAAACUCCAUCAAUGGAUUCAGUACCAUGGUGUUGAUCAAAGUAAACGCUAUUAUUAUGCAAUCUGCCAUCUUCCCCAACGUCUUUAAUUGGAGAUUCAUAUCCAGUUCCAUUUGCAGUCUUACUCUCCGAUUCAAUACUGCUGUCGUUACUGCUACCACAAGAACCAACAAUGCCUUUGCCAUUUCCAUUGCUAGAAAUAACAACAGCAUCAAUAGAAUUGUUGUUGCUCCGCCGAGACUGCCUGCUCUGCAGAGCCGCCUCCUCCUCCUCCUCCUCCUCCUUCUUCUU